UACAGAGACUGCGAGCGUUACUCGGAUUCACUGGGCGUAAAGGGUGCGCAGGCGGCCGAGUGUGUGAGGCGUGAAAGCCCGGGGCUUAACCCCGGAAUUGCACCUCAAACUACACGGCUAGAGCAUUGGAGAGGGUAGCAGAAUUCAUGGUGUAGCAGUGAAAUGCGUAGAUAUCAUGAGGAAUACCAGAGGCGAAGGCGGCUACCUGGACAAUUGCUGACGCUCAGGCACGAAAGCGUGGGGAGCAAAAGGG
This 253-nucleotide ribosomal RNA is filed under the name uncultured bacterium. Its description in RNAcentral is "partial 16S ribosomal RNA". It matches the Rfam family "Bacterial small subunit ribosomal RNA", at positions 524 to 776 of the family's 1533-position model. The record is from RNAcentral.